UACGAAGGGGGCUAGCGUUGUUCGGAAUUACUGGGCGUAAAGCGCGCGCGGGCGGUUAUGCAAGUCAGGGGUGAAAGCCCGAGGCUCAACCUCGGAACGGCCUUUGCGACUGCAUGACUAGAGACCGGGAGAGGAGAGUGGAAUUCCCAGUGUAGAGGUGAAAUUCGUAGAUAUUGGGAAGAACACCGGUGGCGAAGGCGGCUCUCUGGACCGAUACUGACGCUGAGGCGCGAAAGCGUGGGGAGCAAACAGG
RNAcentral lists this ribosomal RNA (253 nucleotides) under uncultured bacterium. RNAcentral's name for it is "partial 16S ribosomal RNA". It matches the Rfam family "Bacterial small subunit ribosomal RNA", at positions 524 to 776 of the family's 1533-position model. The record is from RNAcentral.